Molecule: ribosomal RNA, 758 nt
Filed under: uncultured Salinivibrio sp.
Lineage: Bacteria; Pseudomonadati; Pseudomonadota; Gammaproteobacteria; Vibrionales; Vibrionaceae
Description: bacterial SSU rRNA
Rfam family: Bacterial small subunit ribosomal RNA
Source: RNAcentral
UGUUAGGUCAGAUGUGAAAGCCCGGGGCUCAACCUCGGAACCGCAUUUGAAACUGGCAGGCUAGAGUCUUGUAGAGGGGGGUAGAAUUUCAGGUGUAGCGGUGAAAUGCGUAGAGAUCUGAAGGAAUACCAGUGGCGAAGGCGGCCCCCUGGACAAAGACUGACGCUCAGAUGCGAAAGCGUGGGUAGCAAACAGGAUUAGAUACCCUGGUAGUCCACGCCGUAAACGCUGUCUACUUGGAGGUUGAGGUUUAAGACUUUGGCUUUCGGCGCUAACGCAUUAAGUAGACCGCCUGGGGAGUACGGCCGCAAGGUUAAAACUCAAAUGAAUUGACGGGGGCCCGCACAAGCGGUGGAGCAUGUGGUUUAAUUCGAUGCAACGCGAAGAACCUUACCUACUCUUGACAUCCAGAGAACUUUCCAGAGAUGGAUUGGUGCCUUCGGGAACUCUGAGACAGGUGCUGCAUGGCUGUCGUCAGCUCGUGUUGUGAAAUGUUGGGUUAAGUCCCGCAACGAGCGCAACCCUUAUCCUUGUUUGCCAGCACGUAAAGGUGGGAACUCCAGGGAGACUGCCGGUGAUAAACCGGAGGAAGGUGGGGACGACGUCAAGUCAUCAUGGCCCUUACGAGUAGGGCUACACACGUGCUACAAUGGCAGAUACAGAGGGCAGCGAAGCUGCGAAGUGGAGCGAAUCCCUUAAAGUCUGUCGUAGUCCGGAUUGGAGUCUGCAACUCGACUCCAUGAAGUCGGAAUCGCUAG